CGUGCGGAUGCUUACCUGCAGUCGAACGGCAGCACGGACUUCGUUGUGCCGUGGAGGGGCAAAGGGGUGAGUAAGGUAUCGGAACGUGACUAUACUCGGGGGAUAACUACACGAAAGGGAAACUAAUACCGCUUACGCCCUACAGCUGAAAGCGGGGGAUCGCAAUACCUUGCCCUAUUAGAGCGGCCGAUAUCGGAUUAGCUUUAUGGAGGGGUAACGGCUCACCAAGGCCACGAUCCGUAUCUGGUUUGAGAGGACGACCAGCCACACUGGCACUGAAACACGGCCCAGACUCCUACUCCAGGCAGCAGUGGGGAAUUUUGGACAAUGGGGGAGACCCUGAUCCUGCCAUCCCGCGUGCGCGAUGAAGGCCUUCGGCUUGUAAAGCACUUUUGCUUUUAAAGAAAAAGAUGGGAUAAUACCCCGAGAAACUGACGGUACCUGCACAAUAAGAACCGGCUACCUACGUGUCCGCAGCCGCGGUAAUACGUAUGCUGCAAGCGUUAAUCGGAAUUACUGUUAGUGAAGCGUGCGCAGGCGGAUCGGAAAGAAAGAUGUGAAAUCCCAGAGCUUAACUUUGGAACUGCAUUCUUUAACUACCGACUCUAGAGUGUGUCAGAGGGAGGAGGGAAUUCCGAGUGCCUGAGGGAAAUGCGAAAUAUAUGCGAGAGGAACACCGAUGUCGAUGGCAGACUCCUGCUACCUGACUGACGCUGAUGCACGAAAGCGUGGGGAGCAAACAGGAUUAGAUACUCCUGUACCCUCCACGCCCCUAAACCAUGUCAACUAGCCUGCUGGGAUGCCUGUCGUGCCCAUUGGGUAGUCGCAGCUAUCGCGUGUAAGCGUGACCGACCCUGCGGGCAGGCAUGGGGUGCGCUACGAGUUCAAAGAACGUACCUU
This 900-nucleotide ribosomal RNA is filed under the name Achromobacter sp. RNAcentral describes it as "bacterial SSU rRNA". It matches the Rfam family "Bacterial small subunit ribosomal RNA", at positions 40 to 873 of the family's 1533-position model. The record is from RNAcentral. Lineage: Bacteria; Pseudomonadati; Pseudomonadota; Betaproteobacteria; Burkholderiales; Alcaligenaceae.